AUUAAGAUGGGCAUGCGGAACAUUAGCUAGUUGGUAAGGUAAUGGCUUACCAAGGCUACGAUGUUUAGGGGAUCUGAGAGGAUGACCCCCCACCACUGGUACUGAGACACGGACCAGACUCCUACGGGAGGCAGCAGUAAGGAAUAUUGGUCAAUGGGCGCAAGCCUGAACCAGCCAUGCCGCGUGCAGGAAGACGGCCCUACGGGUUGUAAACUGCUUUUGUACCGGAAUAAACCUUUUCACGUGUGAGAAGCUGAAUGUACGGUAAGAAUAAGGAUCGGCUAACUCCGUGCCAGCAGCCGCGGUAAUACGGAGGAUCCAAGCGCUAUCCGGAUUUAUUGGGUUUAAAGGGUGCGUAGGCGGUUCUUUAAGUCAGGGGUGAAAGACGGUAGCUUAACUAUCGCAGUGCCUUUGAUACUGAAGAACUUGAAUACACUUGAGGUAGGCGGAAUGUGACAAGUAGCGGUGAAAUGCAUAGAUAUGUCACAGAACACCAAUUGCGAAGGCAGCUUACUAAAGUGUCAUUGACGCUGAGGCACGAAAGCGUGGGGAUCAAACAGGAUUAGAUACCCUGGUAGUCCACGCCCUAAACGAUGAAUACUCGAUGUUGGCGAUAUACGGUCAGCGUCUAAGCGAAAGCGUUAAGUAUUCCACCUGGGGAGUACGCCCGCAAGGGUGAAGCUCAAAGGAAUUGACGAGGGCCCGCACAAGCGGAGGAGCAUGUGGUUUAAUUCGAUGAUACGCGAGGAACCUUACCCGGGCUUGAAAGUUAGUGAAUGAGACAGAGACGUCUCAGUCCUUCGGGACACGAAACUAGGUGCUGCAUGGCUGUCGUCAGCUCGUGCCGUGAGGUGUUGGGGUAAGUCCCGCAACGAG
RNAcentral lists this ribosomal RNA (876 nucleotides) under uncultured Sphingobacteriaceae bacterium. Its description in RNAcentral is "bacterial SSU rRNA". It matches the Rfam family "Bacterial small subunit ribosomal RNA", at positions 219 to 1096 of the family's 1533-position model. The record is from RNAcentral. Lineage: Bacteria; Pseudomonadati; Bacteroidota; Sphingobacteriia; Sphingobacteriales; Sphingobacteriaceae.